RNAcentral lists this transfer RNA (81 nucleotides) under Clostridium sp. AF50-3. Its description in RNAcentral is "tRNA-Leu". It matches the Rfam family "tRNA". Rfam says of the family: Transfer RNA (tRNA) molecules are approximately 80 nucleotides in length. Lineage: Bacteria; Bacillati; Bacillota; Clostridia; Eubacteriales; Clostridiaceae. The record is from RNAcentral. RNAcentral also lists the same sequence under 1 other name.
GCGGGUAUGGCGGAAUUGGCAGACGCGCCGGACUCAAAAUCCGGUGGUUGUACCGUGCAGGUUCAAGUCCUGUUGCCCGCA